GACGAACGCUGGCGGCGUGCCUAAUACAUGCAAGUUGAGCGCUGAAGGUUGGUACUUGUACGAACUGGAUGAGCAGCGAACGGGUGAGUAACGCGUGGGGAAUCUGCCUUUGAGCGGGAGACAACAUUUGGAAACGAAUGCUAAUACCGCAUAAAAACUUUAAACACAAGUUUUAAGUUUGAAAGAUGCAAUUGCAUCACUCAAAGAUGAUCCCGCGUUGUAUUAGCUAGUUGGUGAGGUAAAGGCUCACCAAGGCGAUGAUACAUAGCCGACCUGAGAGGGUGAUCGGCCACAUUGGGACUGAGACACGGCCCAAACUCCUACGGGAGGCAGCAGUAGGGAAUCUUCGGCAAUGGACGAAAGUCUGACCGAGCAACGCCGCGUGAGUGAAGAAGGUUUUCGGAUCGUAAAACUCUGUUGGUAGAGAAGAACGUUGGUGAGAGUGGAAAGCUCAUCAAGUGACGGUAACUACCCAGAAAGGGACGGCUAACUACGUGCCAGCCGCCGCAGUAA
Molecule: ribosomal RNA, 513 nt
Filed under: uncultured bacterium
Lineage: Bacteria
Description: partial 16S ribosomal RNA
Rfam family: Bacterial small subunit ribosomal RNA
Source: RNAcentral